This 250-nucleotide ribosomal RNA is filed under the name uncultured prokaryote. RNAcentral's name for it is "partial 16S ribosomal RNA". It matches the Rfam family "Bacterial small subunit ribosomal RNA", at positions 524 to 773 of the family's 1533-position model. The record is from RNAcentral.
UACGGAAGGUCCGGGCGUUAUCCGGAUUUAUUGGGUUUAAAGGGAGCGUAGGCCGCGGGUUAAGCGUGCUGUGAAAUGUCCGGGCUCAACCCUGGCAUUGCGGCGCGGACUGGUCCGCUUGAGUGCGCGGAAGGGAGGCGGAAUUCGUGGUGUAGCGGUGAAAUGCUUAGAUAUCACGAAGAACCCCGAUUGCGAAGGCAGCUUCCCGCAGCGCCACUGACGCUGAAGCUCGAAGGUGCGGGUAUCGAAC